UACGGAGGGGGCUAGCGUUGUUCGGAAUCACUGGGCGUAAAGCGCACGUAGGCCGGCUGUUAAGUCGGGGGUGAAAGCCUGGAGCUCAACUCCAGAACUGCCUCCGAUACUGGCAGCCUUGAGUCCGAGAGAGGUGAGUGGAAUUCCCAGUGUAGAGGUGAAAUUCGUAGAUAUUGGGAAGAACACCAGUGGCGAAGGCGACUCACUGGACGACUGUUGACGCUGAUGUGCGAAAGCGUGGGGAGCAAACAGG
RNAcentral lists this ribosomal RNA (253 nucleotides) under uncultured bacterium. RNAcentral describes it as "partial 16S ribosomal RNA". It matches the Rfam family "Bacterial small subunit ribosomal RNA", at positions 524 to 776 of the family's 1533-position model. The record is from RNAcentral.